GCGGCAAAAGGGUGAGUAACGCGUUGGUUACCUGCCUUGAGGAGGAGGAUAGUCUCAUGAAAAUGAGAGUAAUACUCCAUCGUACCCCGGUCUUGUUAGAUCGGGAUUAAAGAUGGCCUAUGGUUUACUAUGCUGUCGCCUCAAGAGGGGCCAGCGUCCUAUCAGGUAGUUGGUAGGGUAAAAGCCUACCAAGCCGACGACGGGUAGCUGGCAUUAGUGUGUGGUCAGCCACACCGGGACUGAGACACUGCCCGGACUCCUACGGGAGGCUGCAGUCGAGAAUCUUUUCCAAUGGGGGAAACCCUGAGAAUGCGACGCCGCGUGGAGGAUGAAGCGUUUCGGCGUGUAAACUCCUUUUUAUCAGAGAGGAACGUUUUCUAAUGAAUAGUUAGGAAGCUUGACUGUAUCUGAUGAAUAAGCCACGGCUAACUCCGUGCCAGCAGCCGCGGUAAUACGGGGGUGGCAAGCGUUACUCGGUUUGACUGGGUGUAAAGGGUCUGUAGGCGGCCAAAUAAGUAGGAAGUGAAAUCCUUCGGCUCAACCGGAGAACUGCUCCCUAAACUGUUUGGCUUGAGGUUGGAAGAGGAGAGUGGAACUGCCAGUGUAAGGGUGAAAUCUGUGGAUAUUGGCAGGAAUGCCCGUGACGAAGGUGGCUCUCUGGUCCAAACCUAACGCUGAGGGACGAAAGCUAGGGGAGCGAACAGGAUUAGAUACCCUGGUAGUCCUAGCUGUAAACGAUGGGCACUAGGUGUUUCUGCCUUUGGCAGGAGUGUCGAAGCUAACGCGUUAAGUGCCCCACCUGGGGACUACGGCCGCAAGGCUAAAACUCAAAGGAAUUGACGGGGGCCCGCACAAGCGGUGGAACACGUGGUUUAAUUCGAUGCUACGCGAGGAACCUUACCAGGGUUUGACAUGCUGGAUGUAACCGCCUGAAAGGGUGGGUGACCUGUAACCAAUCAGGAACCAGCACAGGUGCUGCAUGGCUGUCGUCAGCUCGUGCCGUGAGGUGUUACCUUAAGUGGUAAAACGAGCGCAACCCUCGCUCUUAGUUGCCAUCGCUCCGGCGUUAGUCGGAGGCUGGGCACUCUAAGGGGACUGCCCACGUUUAAGUGGGAGGAAGGCGGGGAUGACGUCAAGUCCGCAUGGCCCAUAUAUCCUGGGCGACACACGUGUUACAAUGGUACGUACAACGGGAGGCUAAGCCGCAAGGUGGAGCAAAUCCUUAAAAGCGUGCCCCAGUUCGGAUCGAGGCUUGCAAUUCAGCCUCGUGAAGCUGGAAUCGCUAGUAAUGGCGCAUCAGAACGGCGCCGUGAAUACGUUCCCGGGCCUUGUACACACCGCCCGUCAAGCGCUGAAAGUGAGGAGCACCCGAAUUCCGAUGUAAGUCGGAACACGGUGAAUUUCAUGAUUGGCGCUAAGUCGUAACAAGGUA
RNAcentral lists this ribosomal RNA (1432 nucleotides) under metagenome. RNAcentral's name for it is "bacterial SSU rRNA". It matches the Rfam family "Bacterial small subunit ribosomal RNA". The record is from RNAcentral.